GACGAACGCUGGCGGCGUGCCUAAUACAUGCAAGUAGAACGCACAGUUUAUACCGUAGCUUGCUACACCAUAGACUGUGAGUUGCGAACGGGUGAGUAACGCGUAGGUAACCUGCCUGGUAGCGGGGGAUAACUAUUGGAAACGAUAGCUAAUACCGCAUAAUAUUAAUUAUUGCAUGAUAAUUGAUUGAAAGGUGCAAAUGCAUCACUACCAGAUGGACCUGCGUUGUAUUAGCUAGUAGGUGAGGUAACGGCUCACCUAGGCGACGAUACAUAGCCGACCUGAGAGGGUGAUCGGCCACACUGGGACUGAGACACGGCCCAGACUCCUACGGGAGGCAGCAGUAGGGAAUCUUCGGCAAUGGACGAAAGUCUGACCGAGCAACGCCGCGUGAGUGAAGAAGGUUUUCGGAUCGUAAAGCUCUGUUGUAAGAGAAGAACGGGUGUGAGGAGUGGAAAGUUUCAC
RNAcentral lists this ribosomal RNA (465 nucleotides) under Streptococcus gordonii. Its description in RNAcentral is "bacterial SSU rRNA". It matches the Rfam family "Bacterial small subunit ribosomal RNA", at positions 28 to 467 of the family's 1533-position model. Lineage: Bacteria; Bacillati; Bacillota; Bacilli; Lactobacillales; Streptococcaceae. The record is from RNAcentral.